UACGGAGGGUGCAAGCGUUAUCCGGAUUCACUGGGUUUAAAGGGUGCGUAGGAGGGCAGGUAAGUCAGUGGUGAAAUCUCCAAGCUUAACUUGGAAACUGCCGUUGAUACUAUCUGUCUUGAAUAUUGUGGAGGUGAGCGGAAUAUGUCAUGUAGCGGUGAAGUGCUUAGAUAUGACAUAGAACACCAAUUGCGAAGGCAGCUCACUACACAAUCAUUGACUCUGAGGCACGAAAGCGUGGGGAUCGAACAGG
This 253-nucleotide ribosomal RNA is filed under the name uncultured bacterium. Its description in RNAcentral is "partial 16S ribosomal RNA". It matches the Rfam family "Bacterial small subunit ribosomal RNA", at positions 524 to 776 of the family's 1533-position model. The record is from RNAcentral.